RNAcentral lists this small RNA (99 nucleotides) under Salmonella enterica. RNAcentral's name for it is "partial RtT sRNA". It matches the Rfam family "RtT RNA", at positions 33 to 130 of the family's 130-position model. From Rfam's summary of the family: This family represents a bacterial cis-regulatory element known as RtT RNA. Lineage: Bacteria; Pseudomonadati; Pseudomonadota; Gammaproteobacteria; Enterobacterales; Enterobacteriaceae. The record is from RNAcentral.
CGACUAAGGUUCGAUUCGAGCGCAGCGAGAAAGCGUUGCCGCAGGCAACGACCCGAAGGGCGAAGCGCGCAGCGCUGAGUAAUCCUUCCCCCAUCACCA